RNAcentral lists this unclassified non-coding RNA (207 nucleotides) under Hevea brasiliensis (rubber tree). Lineage: Eukaryota; Viridiplantae; Streptophyta; Magnoliopsida; Malpighiales; Euphorbiaceae. The record is from RNAcentral.
UUAAUUUGGGCGCUCAAGCAAACCCCCAUGAAAUUAAAUCAAGAGACAAGGUUUUGAAGCUCUCUUCCUCUCCGUUUGUUACUCCAAUAGAGAAUCAUACACAAAGAAGUAGCGAAAGAGAACAAGUUGACCAGGCCAAAGCUUUAGAUUGACUAGGGACGCAAUAAAUAAAAGAGUUAAGAGGGAGGUGAAGGAAGGUGAAAAAAA